UGAGGAAUAUUGGUCAAUGGGCGAGAGCCUGAACCAGCCAAGUAGCGUGCAGGAAGACGGCCCUAUGGGUUGUAAACUGCUUUUAUGCGGGGAUAAAGUGAGGGACGUGUCCUUCAUUGCAGGUACCGCAUGAAUAAGGACCGGCUAAUUCCGUGCCAGCAGCCGCGGUAAUACGGAAGGUCCGGGCGUUAUCCGGAUUUAUUGGGUUUAAAGGGAGCGUAGGCCGUGGAUUAAAGCGUGUUGUGAAAUGCAGGUGCUCAACGUCUGCACUGCAGCGCGAACUGGUCCACUUGAGUGUGCGCAACGCGGGCGGAAUUCGUCGUGUAGCGGUGAAAUGCUUAGAUAUGACGAAGAACUCCGAUUGCGAAGGCAGCUUGCGGGAGCACAACUGACGCUGAAGCUCGAAAGUGCGGGUAUCGAACAGGAUUAGAUACCCUGGUAGUCCGCACGGUAAACGAUGGAUGCCCGUUGUCAGGCUGUUUCAGUCUGGUCGACCAA
Molecule: ribosomal RNA, 498 nt
Filed under: uncultured bacterium
Lineage: Bacteria
Description: partial 16S ribosomal RNA
Rfam family: Bacterial small subunit ribosomal RNA
Source: RNAcentral